RNAcentral lists this long non-coding RNA (1179 nucleotides) under Anser brachyrhynchus (Pink-footed goose). Its description in RNAcentral is "lncRNA (ENSABRG00000012392.1)". Lineage: Eukaryota; Metazoa; Chordata; Aves; Anseriformes; Anatidae. The record is from RNAcentral.
AUUUUUUUCUUCAGAUCUACUACCUAACAGGCAACAUAACAAUACUUUUAACUUUUUCUUUUUCUUUUCUCUUUUUAAACACAUUUUAUUUCCACUGUGUAAAGGUAAGACAUAAAAGUUGGCAUCACAGAAUCAUGCGAGCCAACAUCUUGGGCAACAAAAUGAGAAAUUCAUUCCACUGAGCAGGAGAAAAUGGUGUGUAACGGAUAUCAAUUUCAUGGGUAGUACACCACUCUGAAUUUUUAAGUGCAGCCUCUCAGGUAAUGUAAUAAAAAUAAAUAAACAAAUAGGUUUUGCCUCCAAACAUCAUACAGGAAAUAUUGUUUAAUAAUGUACUAACAUUCAUCUUCUCUUGCCAUAUUCUCAUUGUGUUUACAUUGAUUUGAUGUACAAGGCAGCUGUAGUAUUUCACAUCUGCCAGAAUUCAAGAGUAUAAAGUAGUGGUAAAAUGCACAUUAAAACCAAAUGAUCCCUGCAAUAUAGAAAGAAACAUGGAUAAUGCUAUUGUCUAAUGGCUGAGUCUAAAGACCAAGAGAUAUUUGCAGGCCGGUCAGACACUGGGGUUUACUGGAAGCCCACUUAGAGACCCGAUGCCAAACCACAGAGCAGUGAGGCCCCCUGUGUGCCCCGGGGUGGGCUGACUUCAGCUGAAGCUGACUUCUCAGGACCCAAACUGAAGGUGCUGAUCCCCGUAGGCAGUGUGGAGAGUGAGACGCCAAGGCUGUUGAGGGACAACAUGCAAAAGAAGGAGCACAGAGGUUGAUGGAGAUGUUUGUCUUUUAUGACGCAGAAAGGUGCAGUUCUCAGCAGUGGAACUGGAAACGGUGGAGAGGGGGCAGCAGAGGAGGCGACACCAGAGGUGGACAGCCUCCACGCUGUCACUGAAAGAAGGACACAGACCACUUCCAAGGAGUUGUCUUCUCCAGGCUACAAGACCAGGCUCCUGGUUUCAGCGACAAGGAUGAGGGAUAGUCCCAGUGCAGAGCAGCUUCUGCCCUGGGUAGGCAAAGAAAUGAGACCUGCGGUUUGUCACCCUCCUGGGCUCAGGGAAGCCUAUAGCCUUACCUCCUGGUCCUAACGGGGACACCUGCACAGUGGGAUGUGAUUCUGCUCCGCAAGAUGGCAGAAAUCCCACCAGUGCUACUUUAAUGAGAAUGAAAUGGCAAGCUGCUGACUCAU